UACGAAGGGGGCUAGCGUUGCUCGGAAUCACUGGGCGUAAAGGGCGCGUAGGUGGCGACCCAAGUCGAUGGUGAAAGCUCGCCGCUCAACGGCGAGUCGGCCACCGAUACUGGGUUGCUGGAGCACUGUAGAGGCAGAUGGAAUUCCGGGUGUAGCGGUGGAAUGCGUAGAGAUCCGGAAGAACACCAGUGGCGAAGGCGGCCCGCUGGGCAGUGGCUGACGCUGAAGCGCGACAGCGUGGGGAGCAAACAGG
This 253-nucleotide ribosomal RNA is filed under the name uncultured bacterium. RNAcentral's name for it is "partial 16S ribosomal RNA". It matches the Rfam family "Bacterial small subunit ribosomal RNA", at positions 524 to 776 of the family's 1533-position model. The record is from RNAcentral.